CCGGUUCCGGUUCACGCCCGAGCCCGUCGCGUACGGCGCGACGAGUGAUGACGGCGACCCGGCGACC
This is a regulatory RNA element of Micromonospora lupini str. Lupac 08, 67 nucleotides long. It matches the Rfam family "L31-Actinobacteria ribosomal protein leader". NCBI's taxonomy places the organism in Bacteria, Bacillati, Actinomycetota, Actinomycetes, Micromonosporales, Micromonosporaceae. The record is from Rfam.